This 708-nucleotide ribosomal RNA is filed under the name Rhodofomitopsis cupreorosea. Its description in RNAcentral is "partial large subunit ribosomal RNA". It matches the Rfam family "Eukaryotic large subunit ribosomal RNA", at positions 288 to 938 of the family's 3401-position model. The record is from RNAcentral. Lineage: Eukaryota; Fungi; Basidiomycota; Agaricomycetes; Polyporales; Fomitopsidaceae.
AAAAAUGGGGUGRGUAARUUACCAUUMUAAAGYUAAAAUAUUKGGCGAGAGAMCCGAUAGCGAACCAAGUAYCCGURAGGGAAAGAUGAAAAGCCAYUUGGGAAAGAGAGUUAAWCAGUACGUGAAAUUGCUGAAAAGGGAAACACUUGAARUCAGUCGUGUCAGCCAGAACUCAGCCUUGUUKUUUUGCUUGGUGCAUUUUCUGGUUGAUGGRCCAGCAUUGAUUUUGGCCGCUGGAAAAAGGMUGGGGGAAUGUGGCACCUUCGGGUGUGUUAUAGMCCUCAGUCACAUACAGUGGUUGGGAKUGAGGACUGCAGCAUGCCUUUUAUGGCCAGGGUUCGCCCAUGUUCAUGCUUAGGAUGCUGRCAUAAUGGCUUUAAAUGACCCGUCUUGAAACACGGACCAAGGAGUMUAACAUGCCUGCGAGUGUUUGGGUGGAAAACCCGAGUGCGUAAUGAAAGUGAAAGUUGAGAUCCCUGUCAUGGGGAGCAUCGACGCCCGGACCUGAACUUUGGUGAWGGAUCUGCGGUAGAGCAUGUAUGUGGGACCCGAAAGAUGGAAAAGUAUGCCUAAUAGGGUAAGCCAGAGGAAYCUUUCCCUUCCCUCUAGYGUUCUACGYCCCCCCCUCUYAAAUUGGGCAUAGGGKCAAAAAUAUAUUAAUAAUGCGCUUAAAUUUUUUUCUUUUUUCAAUGAAAUWARAAAAAUCRA